AGUAACACGUGGGUAACCUGCCUCAUACAGGGGGAUAACAGUUAGAAAUGACUGCUAAUACCGCAUAAGCGCACAGUGCUGCAUGGCACAGUGUGAAAAACUCCGGUGGUAUGAGAUGGACCCGCGUCUGAUUAGCUAGUUGGUGGGGUAACGGCCUGCCAAGGCGACGAUCAGUAGCCGGCCUNAGAGGGUGAACGGCCACAUUGGGACUGAGACACGGCCCAAACUCCUACGGGAGGCAGCAUG
This 246-nucleotide ribosomal RNA is filed under the name uncultured bacterium. Its description in RNAcentral is "partial 16S ribosomal RNA". It matches the Rfam family "Bacterial small subunit ribosomal RNA", at positions 109 to 353 of the family's 1533-position model. The record is from RNAcentral.